RNAcentral lists this ribosomal RNA (374 nucleotides) under uncultured organism. RNAcentral describes it as "partial 16S ribosomal RNA". It matches the Rfam family "Bacterial small subunit ribosomal RNA", at positions 527 to 896 of the family's 1533-position model. The record is from RNAcentral.
GUAGGUGGCAAGCGUUGUCCGGAAUUAUUGGGGCGUAAAGCGCGCGCAGGCGGUUCUUUAAGUCUGAUGUGAAAGCCCACGGGCUCAACCGUGGAGGGUCAUUGGAAACUGGAGAACUUGAGUACAGAAGAGGAAAGCGGAAUUCCACGUGUAACGGUGAAAUGCGUAGAGAUGUGGAGGAACACCAGUGGCGAAGGCGGCUUUCUGGUCUGUAACUGACGCUGAGGCGCGAAAGCGUGGGGAGCAAACAGGAUUAGAUACCCUGGUAGUCCACGCCGUAAACGAUGAGUGCUAAGUGUUAGGGGGUUUCCGCCCCUUAGUGCUGCAGCUAACGCAUUAAGCACUCCGCCUGGGGAGUACGGCCGCAAAGGCUG